GAUGAAGAACGUAGCGAAAUGCGAUAAGUAGUGUGAAUUGCAGACUUUAGUGAAUCAUCGAAUCUUUGAACGCACAUUGCGCCCGCCAGUAUUCUGGCGGGCAUGCCUGUUCGAGCGUCAUUUCAACCAUCAAGCCCCCGGCUUGUGUUGGGGACCUGCGGCUGCCGCAGGCCCUGAAAAGCAGUGGCGGGCUCGCUGUCACACCGAGCGUAGUAGCAUACAUCUCGCUCUGGGCGUGCUGCGGGUUCCGGCCGUUAAACCACCUUCAUAACCCAAGGUUGACCUCGGAUCAGGUAGGAAGACCCGCUGAACUUAAGCAUAUCAAUAAGCGGAGGA
Molecule: unclassified non-coding RNA, 336 nt
Filed under: soil metagenome
Description: partial contains 5.8S ribosomal RNA, internal transcribed spacer 2, and large subunit ribosomal RNA
Rfam family: 5.8S ribosomal RNA (bases 1-120)
Source: RNAcentral